UUCCUUUUGACGAUAGGGUUGAUACUAUAUUGCACUACUUCGAUUUGCCUAGUAAUGAGAUUCCUAGUUUUAUGACGCUUUACUUCGAGGAUCCGGAUCAUCAGGGUCACCAGGUUGGCCCUGAUGAUCCUCGGAUCACUGAAGCUGUUGUUAACGUCGAUAGGUUGAUUGGUAGGUUGAUAGAUGGGUUGGAGAAGAGAGGGGUGUUCGAGGAUGUGACUAUGAUUAUGGUUGGUGAUCAUGGG
Molecule: long non-coding RNA, 245 nt
Filed under: Brassica rapa (field mustard)
Lineage: Eukaryota; Viridiplantae; Streptophyta; Magnoliopsida; Brassicales; Brassicaceae
Description: long non-coding RNA (BRAP_LNC000082)
Source: RNAcentral